CUAAGAUCCUUAAAUUCAAAGAAUUUGGCGGUAAUUAAGUCUUUUUAGAGGAACCUGUUCUGUAAUUGAUAAUCCACGAUUGAUUUUACUUUAAUUUUACUUGUAUAUCUCUGUCAAUGAAUGUAUUAUAAGAUUAAUUUUCUUUAAUUUUUGGGAAUAAAUGUUAGGUCAAGGUGCAGUCUUUUAAAGUAGAAAUGGGUUACAAUAAUUUUUUUUGGAUAUUUUUAUGAAAUUUGAAAUUUAAAAUUGGAUUUAAUAGUAAUUUUUUUUAAAUUAAAAUAAUGAUUUUAGCUCUUAAUUAU
Molecule: ribosomal RNA, 302 nt
Filed under: Labramachaerota korupa
Lineage: Eukaryota; Metazoa; Arthropoda; Insecta; Hemiptera; Machaerotidae
Description: partial 12S ribosomal RNA
Source: RNAcentral